UCCCGAGUGGAUCCUGAGUACGGCGGGACACGAGGAAUCCCGCCGGAAUCCGGGAGGACCAUCUCCCAAGGCUAAAUACUCCCUAGUGACCGAUAGUGAACCAGUACCGUGAGGGAAAGGUGAAAAGCACCCCGGGAGGGGAGUGAAAGAGAUCCUGAAACCGUGUGCCUACAAGUAGUCAGAGCCCGUUAACGGGUGAUGGCGUGCCUUUUGUAGAAUGAACCGGCGAGUUACGGUCUCAUGCAAGGUUAAGCUGAAGAAGCGGAGCCGCAGCGAAAGCGAGUCUGAACAGGGCGAAAGAGUAUGAGGCCGCAGACCCGAAACCAGGUGAUCUACCCAUGUCCAGGGUGAAGGCAAGGUAACACUUGCUGGAGGCCCGAACCCACGCACGUUGAAAAGUGCGGGGAUGAGGUGUGGGUAGCGGAGAAAUUCCAAUCGAACUUGGAGAUAGCUGGUUCUCUCCGAAAUAGCUUUAGGGCUAGCCUCAAGCGAAGAGUUUUGGAGGUAGAGCACUGUUUGGACGAGGGGCCCUCAUCGGGUUACCGAAUUCAGACAAACUCCGAAUGCCAAAAACUUAUGCUUGGGAGUCAGACUGUGAGUGAUAAGAUCCAUGGUCGAAAGGGAAACAGCCCAGACCGCCAGCUAAGGUCCCAAAGUAUACGUUAAGUGGAAAAGGAUGUGGCGUUGCUUAGACAACCAGGAUGUUGGCUUAGAAGCAGCCAUCAUUCAAAGAGUGCGUAAUAGCUCACUGGUCGAGUGACGCUGCGCCGAAAAUGUAC
This 779-nucleotide ribosomal RNA is filed under the name Heyndrickxia coagulans. RNAcentral describes it as "bacterial LSU rRNA". It matches the Rfam family "Bacterial large subunit ribosomal RNA", at positions 395 to 1175 of the family's 2925-position model. The record is from RNAcentral. Lineage: Bacteria; Bacillati; Bacillota; Bacilli; Caryophanales; Bacillaceae.